This 253-nucleotide ribosomal RNA is filed under the name uncultured bacterium. Its description in RNAcentral is "partial 16S ribosomal RNA". It matches the Rfam family "Bacterial small subunit ribosomal RNA", at positions 524 to 776 of the family's 1533-position model. The record is from RNAcentral.
UACGGAGGGAGCUAGCGUUGUUCGGAAUUACUGGGCGUAAAGCGCACGUAGGCGGCUUUGUAAGUUAGAGGUGAAAGCCUGGGGCUCAACCCCAGAAUUGCCUUUAAGACUGCAUCGCUUGAAUCCAGGAGAGGUGAGUGGAAUUCCGAGUGUAGAGGUGAAAUUCGUAGAUAUUCGGAAGAACACCAGUGGCGAAGGCGGCUCACUGGACUGGUAUUGACGCUGAGACGCGAAAGCGUGGGGAGCAAACAGG